Molecule: RNA transcript, 6286 nt
Organism: Hylaeus volcanicus
Lineage: Eukaryota; Metazoa; Arthropoda; Insecta; Hymenoptera; Colletidae
Exons: 22
Source: RefSeq, a predicted model, not a curated record
UGGUGUUAAUGAAUUCGACUUUUAAACAAGCGUGUUGUUUAAAAUCUUCAUUUUUCUUUGAAGAACAUUUCUUUAUGUUUUGUUAUCCACCUUUUUAAUCAAUUCCAAGUUGCCUUAUAAUUUUUUUUCAAAAUAUGAUGAAAGAUUGUAACGAGUUAAUUUACCAGAUCAAGCGCCAGCAACAUUUUCGUUUACUCCGAUCAACCUUUGAUGUGUGGGAAUAUAAUGCUUUACAAUAUGAAUAUGAAAGACAAAGAAGAAUUGUUGCUGGGGAAACGGCUACGGGUAUUUUAAAUAUAACAAAAGCAUUGAAGUGCUGGAAGGUAUAUAGUCAGUGGAAGCGGAAUAAAAAAAAAUGUAUUCGUCAUGUUGCUUUUUCCCAUUGCUUACACCGAUGGUUCUCUCAAACAGUUCAAGUAACCCAUGAGAAGUCUUUGAAUACUUUCCCACAGCUUAUAGCGAAUCUUGUAAGAAUUUCCCGUAACGCACAAUGCAUUAGUAAAAUGACUGGUCAAACAAUGGUAUUUUACGAUUUCGAAAAACAUAUCAAAGGAUUUUCAGCAGUUGGAUUCUGUGGUUUAUUGUCUUUCGUGUCAAGAUACACAAAUUACCAAAAAAACAUACUGAGCGUGAGAAGUGAUGUGCAACCUACAUUCUUAAGCAAUGUACGCAUGUUGUAUGUGGCCCGUUGUAUUCGUGUCGAAAGUGAAACAUGGCAAGGUUUCUUCGCAUUGGAGUGUAUUGAUGUUCCCUGGCCGAUUCAUCAUGGAAAAUUAUGGAAUCGGCACAAAGCACUUGCCUCACUGUUUCGCUGGGCCUUAUUAAAAGUCCAAUUAAAUAAAUGGUGUUUUUAUUUAAAGUAUAAGAAAGAAAUGAAAAAACGCCGCAUCCUUUUGUCAUGUCGUAUGUGGAUGUCGUAUGCUUUUAAAAAAAAAUACAACACUAGGCACAAAAUAUUAAUGGAAGAAACGUUACGUAAAACCUUAGCUACUUGCUUACUUCGUUGCUCGUGGGUUGUCUGGAAAGUCGUGUUUUUCAAAUCUCUCAAGCUAAAAGAAUUAUGUUUUAAAGUGGUGUCAAUAAAAACCCAAAAAUCGGUAAAGUCAGCUUGCGGGAUUUGGAAGCAAUCGGUGACGCAUUGGAGUUUACUGAAAAGUCGCGAAGAAUUUCUAACAAAGCAGUGGACUCUUCUUUCAAGUUUACGACAGUGGCGUUCUUUUAUUCAGAACAAGACAUUUGUAAUUGUGUCCAUUAAAAAAUUAAAAGUGAAGACAAACCAAACAAUUUUAAGACAACAUUUCAUUUCUUGGCGGAUGCAGUUUUUGCAUUGCAUUCUAUGUCAAAUGAUUCAAAAAUCACGGACUGAAACAUCAAUAAAAUAUGUUUUGGUGGUGUGGAAGCGUCAGGCGGAUUUUCAAAAAAGACUUGAAAAUUUUUUUUUAUCUUGUAUAGAACGUAUGACUCAAAAAAGUAUCCAAGCCUGGCGUUACAAGGCUUUAUUUUUUGAGAAAGUCAAGUGUUAUUUGUUGAAAAGAGAAAAAAAAAUGGUUUCUUUAGCUUUUUAUCAAUGGUCAUAUUUUCAACAGUGGCAUUACCAUUUCGAGAUGAAAAAAAAAUAUCUUCAAACUCAUUUAAAUCAGCGACAAUUGAAUCGAAUCUAUAAUUAUUUAAAACGCUGCAGUCGCUUACGACAAGGUUAUCGUAAAGCUAGCGAAAUGUUAGAGAAAUAUGUUUGUAUACCUAACGCUAUAAAGCGUUGGGUUAUCAUAACAAAAAACAGUAUGAAUAUGGAGCAAGAAAUUGUUUCCGUUAUUCAAUUACAAAAAAUGAAACGAUUAUUACAAGAUUGGAAAGCUCAACACAAGAAUUUAAAAGAAGAAAAAAACUUUCAUGACAGGCAACAAAGGGCUUUAAUGCUUGUUCUACACAAAAAAAAACAAAGUUUAUGGCAGCAAUGGUUUCGUUAUACGCAAUUCUGUUCGAGGUUACGGGAUCGGCAAGUUGCUUGUCAAACAGAUUCUCUGUUUUGGUACGUUUUUCGUACUGGAGUAUGUUCAUCUGAAAAUGUUUUUUGUCAUUUCAAUAAAAAAAAAAAAUCGACUUUUGGUUUUUUAAGAAAAAAAAAUGUGACAAUUCUAUUUAAUGCUGAAACAUUUGUUACUUUUAUUCAAUUUUGUUUCAAUGCUCAAGAAUUUAUUUUUUUUUGGGCUUCUCUUGGAAAUAUUUUACAAGACAUUAUUUUGCAUCGGACUUUCAAAUUGAAAACAAAAUUGGUUUCAGCUUUGAAACACUGGGAAAAGUCCAGCCAUUUUCAUCAAGUCACAAAAUGUUUAUACAAGCGUUUGGAAAUUCAACAAAAACAACAAUUGAACAUGGUUUUAAAUGAGUGGGUGCAUUACGUUGUACAUGAACAAAAAAAACGUUCACUAAAGGUCAUUCGACUUGAACAAGUUGAGAGUCAUUUUUUCAAAACAUGGAGAGACAUUUUCAAUUUAAAAGUCGACUUGAAGAAAACAGCAGAUUCUCUACAAACACGUACAACUUCAAAGUUUCUAGCCAAUUAUUGGUCACUCUGGUUGACAUAUUAUAAACAACAAACAUCGCUUCAAUUCAAAGCUUAUUGCGUACAUUGUCAACGGUGUGAAACUCAGUUAGCGUCUGCCGUUUUUUCAUGGUCCUCUUUCACAAAAAUGCAACGAAAAAUGAACGAUGCUUUAAGUGCACUUGAUACAAAACGCACAUUUCACAGACUUGAACAUUGUUAUUUUUCAUGGAAAUCUCUUUUACAAAACCGCGUUCAGUGCCAAAAUUUUUUUAUCUUUCUACAUGUUCGUUUGAUUCAAACCCAUUUGUUACCCGCUUGGAAUAUAUUUGCUACUAAAAAAGUGAAAUCUGAGAUGACUCGAAGGUCACAAGAAAGGUUGUUUGUACGAAAACGACAUGAAAACUGUCUGAAAGUUUGGUUCUAUUUCCAACAGCAUCGUAGAAAAUUCGCGAAUUUGUGUAGGUUUUUAAGCCAAAAGAUAAAACAACGGUAUUAUAAAAGAUUAGUGGAACGUCAUAGAACGUUAACGUGUGUUUGGACGAAGUAUUGUUUCCAAAAGUGUUUGAGUGUGUGGGGAAAAAUGAUUUGUAUAAAAAAGAAUUUAAUGAAAAAGAUGAAUGCUCUCAAGACGCUCCACCAUUUUCAUCUCAUGACCUAUUUUUUUCAAAGAAUUUGGUUAAGAUCAACAUGUUUUGUAUUGAAACUGAAAUUUCGACUAUUUCUGUUUGUCACGACCUUACCAACGAUGACCCAAGGAACGUUUGAAAGAUCAGCAGGAAGUGUUUAUGCUGGGUGCUUAAAGAUAUUUCAACAAUCAGCGGGGAAGGAUUUAUGCAUUAGCUUGGAAUUUUUGAAAAAGAAUCAACUUGAUGAGUAUGAAAUUAUAGCGUCAUCUCGGGAACGGAAAACAUCCUUAUUGUUUUUAAAAAAGCUACAAAAAGAAACUCCAAUGCAAGUGUUGUCAAGACGUUUGUAUGAUUCCCCUACUGAUAUGUGUUAUGCUCAUUUGCUUACAAAUUUUAAUCGUAUGAGACGUGUUCAAAAAGGCUGCCAAAGUUGGAGUUCCUGGACUUUUGAUCGGAAAAAAAAACACAUAGCCGAAAAAAGAUGUUUUUAUAUUAUUAAUUGGAAAUAUCAACUUUGUGUUUUACGUGGAUGUAUGACUCAAAUGAACAAGGUGUUAAAAGAACUACACAUCCGACGGGAUACCCAAUGUUUCGAUUUGGAAAACUAUUUACAUAUGAAAAGUCAAACACGUUUUUGGGAAACUUGGCGACUUUAUGUGCUAACCAGUGUAAUUCAAUUGGAAACCAACGUGCGACAUGUUGCCGUGAAACUUUGGGGUCACAAAAGUCGUUUAGCAAGAGUGUAUGGUGUUUAUAAUGAGGUCGAUCGUCUUUUCACCGCUUGGACUUUUUUUACAAAACAAAGCCUCACUCGAAUAGUGGUUUUUAAAAAGAAAACUGUUCAAAACGUUUUACACAAUUGGAAGUAUUUAACCCUUUGUGAGCGGUUUAUCAAAAACAAGUCAAUAAAAAGUUUGCAAAAAGUGUAUUAUACGAAAUGGCGAAAACGUUUUCAACUAUACUAUUCAACGCAACGCUUAACUUUUAUUUUAAAUCAAUGUGUUCGGUCGUAUGAUCCUUUUUUUUUUUUCUUUCGAAUGUUGAAAAUUUUAAUGGCACGUCAUUGUUUUCAACUUGAAUCAAAGCGAAACGUUAUUGAGUGUUGGUCAUCUUUGUAUUGCGGUUUGAUGAAAAGAGUCAAUGAUUUUAAAACGCGUCAUCACAAACGUUUAACUAUAAAAUACUUGUAUUCCAUGCAACAGCGUGUUCUUUCAUCACUCCAGGAACGUUUACUGGAAACGACUCUUCACAAAUUGAUUCAUUUUCAAUUACGUCGACGGUAUUGGAAUCGAUUCCGCAGUUGUUUUAAGCAUGCUGAUCAUCUGCAUGGGAUUGCACGGCGUUUUAAUGCAUUUUAUUCUUUAAGCAAAAGUCUUAAUGUAUGGAUGCAUUUUACUCGCUCUAAAUAUUGGAUACGUUCCGUUGAAAUGACCACUUUAGCUGGUAUUUUUCAAUGUUGGAAAUAUACGGCAUCUUUUCAACAACGUCACACCCUCUUUCAAUAUCAAUUAAAAAAACGUACUUUUCAAAUGUUUUCGAAAAGUAUUGAUUCCAUCAAUCGUUCACGUCGUCUUGAUCACAUUUUGAAAUGGAAAUCUCAACAUAUCUUUUUUCAACGGUGGAGUCGUACACUGACACUCAUUCGAAAUUUGAAAAGUCAUGUGAAGAUUUUACAAAACCAAUUGGAAUUCACCAUUAAAAAAAAAUUAUUUCAUGAAUGGCUCGAACAAUGUCGAAUUCACCGCCAAAAAAAGUAUCAACAUUUCGUUAACGCAAUUUUAUGUGACUCAAGCGUUAGGCUGCCCUUAGUUGAAAGAAUCCAAUUGCAUUAUCAAACAAUACUUAAAAAAGACACUUUUCAGCAACUUGGUGCCUACACGCAAUCAAUUGUCAAACUGGAAAUGAUUUUUAUAAAAUCUAAAUUUAAAUCAUGGAAACAGUUAUUUGACUCUAUUCAACAAUAUCAAAAAGAUAAAAGAACCAAAGUGUUACGAGGACUUGAAAUAUGGUAUUUCUAUACGUUGCGUGAACGAAAAAAAAAAAAAUGGCUUUUUAAAGAAAACCAAAUAAGACAGUGUCGUUUACGAAUCAAUUUAGGUUACGUUUUCAAUGCGUGGAAAUAUUUUAUUUUGCACAGCCAAAGAUUACGCGUUAUUCGCCAAGAACAAACAGAACGUGUUUUGACAAAUUGUUUUAUUCAAUGGAGAUUACUAUUACGAACUCAAUGGUGUCAAGAAACGAUUUCUCGCAUUAAACCUUCCAUUUUAAAUGGAUUGAAAUUAAAUGGAUUCAUGGAUCAUUCUUGGAGUUGUUAUAUCUCUCACAAAAACUUGAGACAUAUCGUCUUUCAAACAUGGCUAUUACGAACUUACCGUCUGUCGUGGAAUCGUGAAUGUGUUCGAAGGCAAAAACUUUUGUAUCAAUCGGCGUGUGAAAAAAAAAUAAAAUUAUGUUUGCUUCAAUGGAAGCAAUUAAAACUUUCAAAAUAAAUAGGUUUUUUGAUGGAUCCAUCUGUCGCAAGUAGGACCUUUUAAAAAUAAUGCAUGUAGAGAUCUGUUUUGUAGUCGAUCAAAACCUCAUGAUCUAAUCUGUGGUAACGUGUGUUAACUAUUCAACCUAGUUUUAUGUGUAUGUGUCAUCCUAUUUUAUAGUUUUUUUUUUAUUUUGUUUUAAAAAAGAUUCUUAUUAAACUCGAAACAAAAAUUCUUUUAUUGAUACUAAAUAGACUAACAAUGGCUUCAGUUCAUGUAUCAAGACUUCUUGAUGGCGCUGUUAUGGCAAUAUUUCUUUUAUUUUUAUCAGGAGGGUCGUUAUUCAUGCUAGCACAAUUAUGGACAUUGUCGCAAAACACAAUGUUUGACCAGUGGAAAAUCGGACAGAUUGUUCGUUCAGUUUUCCCUUUCUCGAAACGGUUUGAAUUUACCUUGUCUCACAUGCUUCUAUUUUCCAUUGUGAUAUGUCUUCUAAGUUUUCGAUCGGAUCCGAUUCCUGUGGAACAAGUGAAAAAAGACAAACGACGAGAUUAAAUAAUGUGGCUUAGCUUUGAGUGUCACGAUAAAAUGUGUGAUUUAAAAAAAAAUCAUGUUAUGAACUUUAAAAUAACAACUCUGUUAGG